This 304-nucleotide long non-coding RNA is filed under the name Pelobates cultripes (western spadefoot toad). Lineage: Eukaryota; Metazoa; Chordata; Amphibia; Anura; Pelobatidae. The record is from RNAcentral.
GUGCAGUUUUGUGACCAACAAUUGUGAAAUAUGCUAUGCCUCGUGGAUAAGUCAAGGGUAAAACUUGGGGCUAUGAAAUUCUGUGAUUUUUAUAAUUAUAUACACACACACUCAUACAAACACACACUCUGCAUUAUAUAUACACACACUCAUACAAACACACACUCAUACAAACACACAUUCUGCAUUAUAUACACACACACACUCAUACAAACACACACUCUGCAUUAUAUACACACACACACUCAUACAAACACACACUCUGCAUUAUAUACACAGACUGUGUAUAUAAUGAAGAGUGUGU